AGAGUUUGAUCCUGGCUCAGGAUGAACGCUAGCUACAGGCUUAACACAUGCAAGUCGAGGGGAAACGACAUCGAAAGCUUGCUUUUGAUGGGCGUCGACCGGCGCACGGGUGAGUAACGCGUAUCCAACCUGCCCACCACUUGGGGAUAACCUUGCGAAAGUAAGACUAAUACCCAAUGACGUCUCUAGAAGACAUCUGAAAGAGAUUAAAGAUUUAUCGGUGAUGGAUGGGGAUGCGUCUGAUUAGCUUGGUUGGCGGGGUAACGGCCCACUAAGGGCGACGAUCAGUAGGGGUUCUGAGAGGAAGGUCCCCCACAUUGGAACUGAGACCAGGUCCAAACUCCUACGGGAGCA
Molecule: ribosomal RNA, 354 nt
Filed under: uncultured bacterium
Lineage: Bacteria
Description: bacterial SSU rRNA
Rfam family: Bacterial small subunit ribosomal RNA
Source: RNAcentral